GGCCGCGGGAAUUCCAUUCAGGCCUAACACAUGCAAGUCGAACGGAAAGGCCCUGCUUGCAGGGUACUCGAGUGGCGAACGGGUGAGUAACACGUGGGUGAUCUGCCCUGCACUUCGGGAUAAGCCUGGGAAACUGGGUCUAAUACCGGAUAGGACCAUCGUUUAGUGUCGGUGGUGGAAAGUUUUUCGGUGCAGGAUGAGCUCGCGGCCUAUCAGCUUGUUGGUGGGGUAAUGGCCUACCAAGGCGCCGACGGGUAGCCGGCCUGAGAGGGUGGACGGCCACAUUGGGACUGAGACACGGCCCAGACUCCUACGGGAGGCAGCAGUGGGGAAUAUUGCACAAUGGGCGCAAGCCUGAUGCAGCGACGCCGCGUGGGGGAUGAAGGCCUUCGGGUUGUAAACUCCUUUCAACCAUGACGAAGCAUUAUGUGACGGUAGUGGUAGAAGAAGCACCGGCUAACUACGUGCCAGCAGCCGCGGUAAUACGUAGGGUGCGAGCGUUGUCCGGAAUUACUGGGCGUAAAGAGCUCGUAGGUGGUUUGUCGCGUCGUCUGUGAAAUUCCGGGGCUUAACUCCGGGCGUGCAGGCGAUACGGGCAUAACUUGAGUGCUGUAGGGGAGACUGGAAUUCCUGGUGUAGCGGUGAAAUGCGCAGAUAUCAGGAGGAACACCGAUGGCGAAGGCAGGUCUCUGGGCAGUAACUGACGCUGAGGAGCGAAAGCAUGGGUAGCGAACAGGAUUAGAUACCCUGGUAGUCCAUGCCGUAAACGGUGGGUGCUAGGUGUGGGGGGUCUUCCACGACUUCUGUGCCG
This 811-nucleotide ribosomal RNA is filed under the name uncultured bacterium. RNAcentral describes it as "bacterial SSU rRNA". It matches the Rfam family "Bacterial small subunit ribosomal RNA", at positions 20 to 848 of the family's 1533-position model. The record is from RNAcentral.